AGUGGCUUUCAGAUAGAAUGUGGUAACUCCACCUCUGCACCCUGAAACCCAUUAUUUCCACUGCAUGCGCUAACACACUCUCCUCAAGUUAUGCUGUGCUCACCUCUGGUUAUAUUAGAUAUAUUAAGCCUCUGAAGCAGAUAAGAAAUUCCACUUCCACAGUACUGGUUGACUGUGCAUCCUCCACUCAGGCCGGUCAUGUUCGAUGUAACCUCUGAGGCAGAUGAAGUAUUCUGCUGCUAUGGGAACGCCCUGAGGAGAUUCACCAAGUCUGGAUCCAUGAACAAGGUCUUUACCAAGAUCAAGAUUGACUGAAACACAAUUGCAAGAACAGCUGUAAUUGCUGAGCUAGCGAUCAAAUAUCCGGACACCAUCAAGGAGCUGCUACCUGGAGACGAAGAUAACGAGAAGAUCUCCCAGUUCACAGAGCUAUGGAGGAAGGCUAUAACAAAGGAGAUGGCUAAAAUGAUCACAGUAAGGAAAAAAAGUGGAAAACUCCUCCUGAUAAUGUAAAGUACACUUAAGAACAUUUGGAAGGACAUUGGUUUUUUUUUUUCAAUUUAAAGAACAAGUUAUCCUGUUUUGUUUUUCCCAAAGUACAAAAUGUACGUGCUGAGAAUAUGUCAGAAUCCUCAGAGGAGGAACAAGUAAUCCAAGUCAACAGGUUUAUUUCCAAAGUGUAUUAUUGUGUAAGUACAAUUAAAGAAAAACCAUCUCUUGA
Molecule: long non-coding RNA, 721 nt
Organism: Thunnus maccoyii (southern bluefin tuna)
Lineage: Eukaryota; Metazoa; Chordata; Actinopteri; Scombriformes; Scombridae
Exons: 2
Source: RefSeq, a predicted model, not a curated record